RNAcentral lists this long non-coding RNA (346 nucleotides) under Homo sapiens (human). Its description in RNAcentral is "non-protein coding lnc-ADCY8-3:1". Lineage: Eukaryota; Metazoa; Chordata; Mammalia; Primates; Hominidae. The record is from RNAcentral.
GUUAUAUUUUGAGCUCAAACCUGAAGGAACAAGCCAUGAUAACCACACCAGUCUCAAAAUGAGGUGGUAGACAAGGAUUCCUGAUCAACUGCUGUACGAAUCCGAGGUGGUGCUGUUAUAUGUUCCAAAUGCUGGCAUCUGGCCCACACCCCACCCUGACUCCUUGUCCCCACCCCCAGGGCCCCAGUGAUCUGAGACUGGGGCACUGGGCAUAGGGAUAGUGAGUGAGUUCUCAUGAGAUCUGAUGGUUUGAUAAGGGGCUUGACAGUUCCCCUCUAAUGCUUUCUCCUGCUGCCAUGUAAGACACCCCUUGCUUCCCCCUCAACUUCCGCCUCAAUUGUAAGUU